UUCAAAAAAAAAAGGGAUGCCAUCGAAGUACCUCUGAUAUGGUCUAGAUUCCUUCCUCUAAUUUACUCUGUUUCCAUUCUUGCUCUGCUGCUAUUUCAUUUGUUACCCUAUUCUCGUUUUAUUUUAUUUCAGCCCCUAUAGCUAUGAUUAUUGAUAAUGUUACUGCUGGUUCUAAAGUCGCUGUUGUCAUUGGAGUUACAUGAUUGGAGGAAACCGUCACUAAUGGAACUGCUACUGACAUGGCCGUCGUGCCUCUACCGCCAAGAAACGCCUAGCCGCAGCCGUCAAAGCCAGCCUCGUCGUUGUUGUCGUAGUUGCAGAUUUGGAGCUUCGAAGAGAGAGGAGUUCCCGGAGAGAGAGAAAUGCCAAGGAGGAGGGACCAUCCGCUGCUGCGUUGUUCCUGUCGCCGUUCGGAUGUACCUAAGCCAAGCCAUCGUCCUUGCCGCCGGAGUUGUUGGUGUUUCUAGAGCUGAACUGCUCCUAUCAUUAUCCCGAUUCUCAGAACUAUCGCCAGCUCCAUCUUGUCGCUACUCCGGUCCAAAUUCUGCGCAGUUUCGUACCCUUUAAUUCGACACUCCGGGUUUGGUCUCUUCGGUCCGUUAGGACCAUGCUGAGUAAAUAUUUGAUUAUGUGAGCCUUUCGAUUCAAGAGUAAUGAUCUGCAAUGGGUAUCUGUUCUUUGUUGAGUUCUUAGACGUCAUCUGCUCCAUAUGUCACAGGCAGGAUCCAUCCAUAUUUAUUUUAUUUUUGUUUUUUUAAUAUGUAAUUAUUCAUUUUAGAAACUGUAAAUUUAUUUAAGAUAUUUGUAAUUUUUUUUAUUCAACUUAUAUUUGAGUCGGUUAGGCUUUCUUAGGAAUUAUUUUCCUAUGCGCCAGUCAUGGCUUAUUUUCGGCCGUGACAUAAAUAAAGUAAAAGCAAAUUAAGUAAGUAAACAAAAUAUGAUGAAGACCUUAGGACUGUGUUGCAUCUGCAUGUUUUAUAAGCAGUUAGUGAGGCAGCUAGUUCAAGGUGAUGGGACAAUCAUAUAUUCAUAGUCAUCAAAUAAAGCCUUUCAUUAGAAACAUGUGUUAAGUAGAUUUCUUAUGUAGUUGUCCUUCUCUUCUUUCAUUAUUUUAGACUAAUCAUUAUGUUCUGAUGCGUAU
This is a non-coding RNA of Arachis ipaensis, 1141 nucleotides long. NCBI's taxonomy places the organism in Eukaryota, Viridiplantae, Streptophyta, Magnoliopsida, Fabales, Fabaceae. The record is from RefSeq and is a predicted model, not a curated record.